Dallia pectoralis (Alaska blackfish) is the source of this 75-nucleotide non-coding RNA. The record is from the annotation of a GenBank genome assembly. Lineage: Eukaryota; Metazoa; Chordata; Actinopteri; Esociformes; Umbridae.
GUUGGUGUAGCUCAGUGGUAGAGUGCAUGCUUUGUAUGUAUGAUGACCUGGGUUCAAUGAUCCCCAGCUUCUCCC